Long non-coding RNA from Ochotona princeps (American pika), 680 nucleotides. RefSeq lists it as uncharacterized. The record is from RefSeq and is a predicted model, not a curated record. The transcript has 3 exons. Lineage: Eukaryota; Metazoa; Chordata; Mammalia; Lagomorpha; Ochotonidae.
GAUUCUGAGCUUAGGCUGAAUAACUACUAUGCCUCAGUUACUGCAUUCCUAUGAGUUAGAGCUGCUAUUGGAAUCUGUUCUACACUCUCAAAAUCCAAGCUCUUCCCAAGACAACUUGGUAACACCCACAUUCACAUGUAGACACGUGUUUUCCUAGGCAUUUUGCUUUCACGAUGCUGGCAGCAUCAGAGAGGCACACGUUUCCAGUCAAUCAUUUAUGGGAUCAGAAGCAUGGACGACAAACACUUUGUUGAGUACCGGGUGGUUGAGCUUGGCUGCUAGGCAGAUUCGGCAAUUCAGCCCAAGCUGUGUGCCACACCCAUUGCUAUUUCAGCUCCUGCCUUCUUUCCAGCUGUUCAUUGAUCCCACUUCCUCACAGGCUCAUCCUCCAUUCAUAUGAAGAUAAUGUAAUUGCUUAUUUCAGAGUGAGAGCAAAGAAAACUGACUCCUCCUCUUUGAAGAGCCACUGAAAAGCCCUCAAUUUUAUAUGGUGUUAAUCAGGCUUGAAAGAAGUGACAGAAAACCAAUAGUCAGUCUUGGAAAAAACUGCUAGAAAAAACACUCCCGGAAGGCUUAUUGGUUUCUUCAGAACCGCUGCUUUGGUUCCUGCUCCAGAAAGGACUGGAUGAGAGGAGACAGGGUUCACAGAUCAAGCCCUGUUGUUUCUGCCUCAACGUUGA